Molecule: long non-coding RNA, 1632 nt
Organism: Equus caballus (horse)
Lineage: Eukaryota; Metazoa; Chordata; Mammalia; Perissodactyla; Equidae
Source: Ensembl
CCCAGGGAACAAGACAUUGGCAGCAGCCAUUAUUGUGACCUAGUACAGGCAUGCUGACACAGAUGCCAGCAGACGCCAUUGGAGUUCUUCCUCUGGCCUGUUAGCCCAGGGGUUGGCACCACAUACUAAAGCACUGAUUUAAUCCAGUUCAGCCGUGGCAGGCAGUUGGCCCUUGGCACUGGCUGGCCCCACUCAACAGCAAGCCCUCAGGCAAUUCAUGGGCCCACAUAAGCAGGGUGCCUGAAAACUCUGGCUGCCAGAGAUGUGGCAGCCUCAGUUUUACAACCUUAGCCAACAUCAAGUGUGAAUAUAGAUCCAUGAAAGCCCAUUACUCUGUUUUCCCUUUAAAAUUGUCACAGACCUUCAGAUAUUUCCACGUACUUUUCAAAGACUUUCCUAAACAAGCCUGGGCUUUCAGUCUCUAACCUGGAAGACAGGUGGCCAACCAGGGCCUCCAGGCUCUCAUCCUACUGACAACUUCUGGCAUCCAGACCACAAUGCUUAGAUUGUAGGGACUCUGUAAAUUAAAAAAAAAAGAAACCUUUUGAUCAUUUAGUCAGCUUUAAGCCAGCAGUCAUGAUUUAUAGGAACAGAUUCCUUUAGCUCUAAUUUUAAAACCAUAAAAACGUUUUAACCAGGGCAGACAGACUGGUCAAUGGCCAUCACACUUUGACACAUGAGCUCUGAAAUUGAACACACCUGCCACUCUCGCAUUAAAAACUCAGAGGUCAGUAGCAACAGCAUCAGAACAUGAAAGUCAGGGAGAUGUGAAUGGUCUUAAAGUUGCACCGGUUGUGACAUUCCUUGAUCCAGGGGCUGCCUCUUCACUACCUUGCAUGCUUGCGAGGUGAAUAUACUUUUUUUUCUCUUGAGAACAAGACAAAUAGUCAAGAUGAUCUUAUCAGCAGUCAGAAAGUCAAAUAUUCAAUGGCACAGGAAGUGGCAAUUGUGACAGAUCAUUGGUCCAAGUAAACCAAAGUGUAGUGACCUUGUGACAAAGACAUGAGUGUCCCAAAUACCAGGAAGUAAGACAAUCCUCAAUAAAAACAAACAAACUGACAGGUCCUACAUAGAAAGUCAUCUAGAUUGCCUGUUAUGUCCUACCCAAGGAGACAAGAUGCCCUGUCUUUGGUCGUAGGACCAAAAAACGAAAACAUAAUUUCAGUGUUUCUUCUAUUAAUGAAAGCAGUAGAAAAGCUGCUUAAAAAAUAAACCUAAAUUUAAUCUAUAGUCAGGGUAAGUGAAAGUAAAAUAUUACCGGAUGAUAAGAUUCACCCUGAGAGCUGAGAAAGGCAAAUCCGGAUACAAGGGGCUGACAAGAGGCACGUCUCAGACAGCACAGUGCGGUUGACUCCCCAAGUUGAAUGGAGAGAAAGUGUCUCCUAGUGUCAGUUGAUGACCAUCAUCUUCUUGGGCAGAACUUGGAGGUUGACCACCUCAAGGACCACCGCUCAGGCCAUACACGGACUCACCUUGGCUCAGACGUCUCUACUUCCUGCAGCCUCCCAUCACACUACCCAACCGAAAAAUCCUUGAAGGCAAGAACUUCAUCUGCUAGUUUUUAUCCCUGACAACAUCUAAGAUUCUGUGCUCACCAAGGAUGUUAAAUAAAUGUUGCUGAGUGACUUGAGC